RNAcentral lists this small RNA (109 nucleotides) under Pseudotamlana carrageenivorans. Its description in RNAcentral is "Tamlana carrageenivorans 6S RNA". It matches the Rfam family "6S-Flavo RNA". The record is from RNAcentral. Lineage: Bacteria; Pseudomonadati; Bacteroidota; Flavobacteriia; Flavobacteriales; Flavobacteriaceae.
ACUCAACGUUAAUUCUUUAAAAAGGGUGAGUUUAAGUUGUAAAAGCAUGCUGCAUUUAUUGCAGACCCUUGAUCAGCUUGUUAGCCCUAAACUUGUUUUUAAGGAGUUU